Molecule: ribosomal RNA, 429 nt
Filed under: uncultured Loktanella sp.
Lineage: Bacteria; Pseudomonadati; Pseudomonadota; Alphaproteobacteria; Rhodobacterales; Roseobacteraceae
Description: bacterial SSU rRNA
Rfam family: Bacterial small subunit ribosomal RNA
Source: RNAcentral
AACGAACGCUGGCGGCACGCCUAACACAUGCAAGUCGAGCGCACCUUCGGGUGAGCGGCGGACGGGUUAGUAACGCGUGGGAACAUACCCUUCUCUACGGAAUAGCCUCGGGAAACUGAGAGUAAUACCGUAUAAGCCCUUCGGGGGAAAGAUUUAUCGGUGAUGGAUUGGCCCGCGUUAGAUUAGAUAGUUGGUGGGGUAAUGGCCUACCAAGUCUACGAUCUAUAGCUGGUUUGAGAGGAUGAUCAGCAACACUGGGACUGAGACACGGCCCAGACUCCUACGGGAGGCAGCAGUGGGGAAUUUUCCGCAAUGGGCGAAAGCCUGAUCCAGCAAUGCCGCGUGAGUGACGAAGGCCUUAGGGUCGUAAAGCUCUUUCGCCAGGGAUGAUAAUGACAGUACCUGGUAAAGAAACCCCGGCUAACUCCG